CUGCGGCUGCGGCCGCGCCGGGGGAACGUGAGGGAAAACACCCGGCUCCGGCGGUGCUGAACCCCGGAUCGCCUGAAACGCGUGUGCGAUCCGCGCGGAAACCGCCACUUCCCCCCAGAUCGCAUCCUCCCGUCGUGAAAUUUGGGCUCAGCCCCCCCCCCUCCCCCCCACGCGGGGUUUGGGGCUGUAAAGUUCCCGUUAGAAAUCGUGUCUUUAUGGUAGGAAGGCGGCUGUCGCUGGCCGCGAACCUGCCCCCGUGACUGACACGCUGGUACUGAUUUGGGUUUGAUCGAAUUGACUUUACACUGAUUUUAUUUGGCGUGCUGCAAAUGGCAUUGAGGCCGUGGUGCAGUCCGUGGCGAAGGCCACUCGGAACGCUUGAAAUGGGCAAGUUUGGAAAAUAAUGUCGUUGCUAUACCUUUUUAAUACUUUUAAUUCCCCCCUUCCACUCCUUUUUCUGCAGUCUUAAGCAUGGGAACUUUUACUUUCAAAAAACAUACGUAUCCUUUCUCUGGGUUCCUCUUUCAGUGGACGCCAAAUCCGGAGCAGCACGAGGUGAAGCGAGAGGGGUUGUUCUCAGUGCAGUUCCAGUCCCUUAGCACUGCAAAGGUGCUCUCCAGUUCUUCCUCGCUGGGAACACCAGUCAAAAGGAACCAGAGGAGUACGUUCCAAAGCAAUGGAAGUUGCCGUGUGUGUUGUGAGUAUUUCUGUUGCAGCACUAUGCCACUUCACAGCAAGAAGUCCUUCCAAGAUUUGAUCUUCUUUAUGCACACUUCAAUGUUUUUGUCAAAACUCUGCGCAUCUCGUGUCGGGGCUGUUGGAGUCCACUCUUCGGUAGCGGCACUUCCAGCUGUGCGUGUUCAGAAUAUUUACAGUUCUGUUGCAGAUGUUGACUACUGGUUUGUCACUCUGAUAAAUGUCCCACGAGCCCGUUCACAGGUUUUCCUGCUUCCAACACGUCAAAACCAAGCAUCACAUUAAAACCUCUUAUUAUCUUAGGCAGGUAAAAAGCAUCAGUUCUUGAAGAGUCACAAGAAAACCGAGAACCCCUCCCGAGGUCCUUGGCCCAAAGACUGGCCACGGGGGUCCAAGGGGAAGCAGCACGCGUUUCACAGUGCAAAGCCACACUUUGUGUUUCGGAGUAGGUGCCAGACAAGGGGAGAAGGUGAUGGUGUGUGUGGCUUGGGGAAAAAUUCGGGCAGUAGAGGCAAGCCUCUAGAGUUCUUCCUGCCUGUGAAAUGAAAUGUGAAUUGUUAUUCCCAGAAGAGAAGCAAAUUUAUAAAGGGUAAAAAAGCUACCACCUUUGUUGUUGAAAGUUUGUUGCUUCUGAGGAGCUGGAUAACAGUUUGGAGUCGCUUUCUGAAGCUACCUGCCCAAAGACGGCUUAUCAGUUUCUAUGAAGCUUGCUGCUAUCUCCUGUUCCUCCUGUUCCUCUGCACCCCGUGGCCUUUCUGUCACGUGUCGGUAGAAGUGUGCUGAGGUGUGGAGCUGGCAGAACUCAGGAACAAAAUAUGCAUCAGCUCAUCAGCAAGUUAAAGUAGCUUGGCAGACUACCAGGGGACAGGAGGCGUAGACGAGAGAGUUGAGAAGAAAACAUCUAGGCACACCCGGAUGCUCGGAGUUGGGUAAAUACCUGAAACGACCUGAAUGAGAUCGGAAAGGGCCAGAAUAUGGGAAGGAGGGGAAGAUGAUUGUCUCCGUGUGAGAGCUGAGAUCUGAAGUUUUUGCUUAUAUGUUUCGCAUUAUGGCCCUGCCCUUAUGUCUUACCUGUUGUGCUACAGACACUUAGCUUUUAUCCAGCUCUUUCAGUUAUUUGUCAUGGAGAUUUAUGGUUGUCCUUGCCUUGGAAAUUUACGCUGUGCUAACUGUAUUCAAACUGUCGUGUGAAUGGACAGUAACAUAGAUAUUUUCUACAUCCCAAUGCUUUUCUGCAAUCAGACAGAAAAUGAAGCUGACUGUUGGGAAUUACGAUGCAAUGCUAGUAGAUCCCGAGUCAUUCCAGGCAUCGUUCAGGUAGUACGUCUCAAAUCAAUACUGUUAAUCAGUGCAAAGUACGGACCAUGCUUUUUAGAAUUUUAUUUUUACUGUACGGUGGCAAGAACAUUGCCAGUUAGAAUGACUGUGUCAUUCAUAGGUUCUGUAUUUAUGCUGAUUCUGAUUUCUUUUGAACUAGGAAAUGGGCUAUCCUGUUACCCAUCCAGCAAAUUUAAAACCCAUAUGUUGUUUGAAACAAAUAUUGGUGUGGUUUAUUUUUUGAAGCAUUAUACUUUCUUUUUAAUACACGUUACUGACUGUAAUCCAUUGGAAUAUCAGCAGCUUUAGGAUAUUUGGUGUAGCAAAGCUGCUGGAGUCUAAGAAAAUCUUCCAGUCUUCUUUAGGAUCAGAUGUUAUAUGGAGCUCAUAGGGUACUUGUAAGCACUAAAUAAGAUUCAUAUGAUAGUCUUAGCCUAUAGUCUACCACACACUCAAAUAUGCAUUGCUUUGCUGAAGUAGCAUCUUAUGAUGAGUGUUGUUGAUGAGUGUUAACUUUUUAUGUGGCAUAAUUGUUAGUUUAGUGCUAAACUAUUGCAUUUCGUUAGCCAUUUUGAUAAAAGAAGAAAACGAUUUGCAAUAUUUGCAGUUUUGUAUAUCUGCUUUCUAGUUAGAGGCACGUAAUGUUCACUGUCUUAUUAUUUUCUGUGUGUCAUAGUGCUCUCUGCUGUCCUAGAUUUACAACUGCAACGUGAAAAUUUAAUACAGUGUUGUUGAUCCUUUGCUACUUGUCCCUGAGGCUCAAGGUUGUCUUUUUUUUAUCACUGGUUUCAAGCCCCUCCACUGAGAUACUGACCAUUUGUAGGUUUAACUUUAGUCAGAACAACAAAAUAAAUGCUUUGCAAUGCACA
This is a long non-coding RNA of Dromaius novaehollandiae (emu), 2882 nucleotides long. NCBI's taxonomy places the organism in Eukaryota, Metazoa, Chordata, Aves, Casuariiformes, Dromaiidae. The record is from Ensembl.